GCGAGACUGACAAGUCGAGCAGAUGCGAAAGCAGGACAUAGUGAUCCGGUGGUUCUGUAUGGAAGGGCCAUCGCUCAACGGAUAAAAGGUACUCUGGGGAUAACAGGCUGAUACCGCCCAAGAGUUCAUAUCGACGGCGGUGUUUGGCACCUCGAUGUCGGCUCAUCUCAUCCUGGGGCUGUAGUCGGUCCCAAGGGUAUGGCUGUUCGCCAUUUAAAGAGGUACGUGAGCUGGGUUUAAAACGUCGUGAGACAGUUUGGUCCCUAUCUUCCGUGGGCGCUGCAGAUUUGAGGAAGCCUGCUCCUAGUACGAGAGGACCGGAGUGGACACACCUCUGGUGUAUCGGUUGUCACGCCAGUGGCAUUGCCGAGUAGCUAAGUGUGGAAGAGAUAACCGCUGAAAGCAUCUAAGCGGGAAACUCGUUUCAAGAUGAGAUCUGCCGGGGCCUUGAGCCCCCUGAAGAGUCGUUCAAGACCAGGACGUUGAUAGGCUGGGUGUGGAAGCGCAGUAAUGCGUUAAGCUAACCAGUACUAAUUGCUCGUGAGGCUUGA
This 551-nucleotide ribosomal RNA is filed under the name Delftia sp. BR1. RNAcentral describes it as "partial 23S ribosomal RNA". It matches the Rfam family "Bacterial large subunit ribosomal RNA", at positions 2375 to 2925 of the family's 2925-position model. The record is from RNAcentral. Lineage: Bacteria; Pseudomonadati; Pseudomonadota; Betaproteobacteria; Burkholderiales; Comamonadaceae.